UACGUAGGAUGCAAGCGUUGUCCGGAUUUACUGGGCGUAAAGCGCGCGCAGGCGGCACACCAAGUACGUCAUGAAAUCUCCCUGCUCAACGGGGAGGGUGUGAGGUAGACUGGUGAGCUAGAGGAGGGUAGAGGGGGGUAGAAUUGCUGGUGUAGCGGUGAAAUGCGCAGAUAUCGGGAGGAACACCAGUAGCGAAGGCGGCUCCCUGGGCCAUUCCUGACGCUGAGACGCGAAAGCGUGGGGAGCAAACAGG
This 253-nucleotide ribosomal RNA is filed under the name uncultured bacterium. Its description in RNAcentral is "partial 16S ribosomal RNA". It matches the Rfam family "Bacterial small subunit ribosomal RNA", at positions 524 to 776 of the family's 1533-position model. The record is from RNAcentral.